This 76-nucleotide transfer RNA is filed under the name Pseudomonas viridiflava. Its description in RNAcentral is "tRNA-Asn". It matches the Rfam family "tRNA". Rfam says of the family: Transfer RNA (tRNA) molecules are approximately 80 nucleotides in length. Their secondary structure includes four short double-helical elements and three loops (D, anti-codon, and T loops). Lineage: Bacteria; Pseudomonadati; Pseudomonadota; Gammaproteobacteria; Pseudomonadales; Pseudomonadaceae. The record is from RNAcentral.
UCCGUGAUAGCUCAGUUGGUAGAGCAAAUGACUGUUAAUCAUUGGGUCCCUGGUUCGAGUCCAGGUCAUGGAGCCA